RNAcentral lists this ribosomal RNA (258 nucleotides) under Triticum aestivum (bread wheat). Its description in RNAcentral is "partial small subunit ribosomal RNA". The record is from RNAcentral. Lineage: Eukaryota; Viridiplantae; Streptophyta; Magnoliopsida; Poales; Poaceae.
AUGUCAGCUUUGAAGGAACAGCUGGGUGCAAUGGAUGCUGAGAACAAAGAACCAAAGGAAAAGGUUGACCAGUUGAAGAGCAUUCAUGUUACCCAAGGUAAUGUGAUUAGGAAUCUGAAGUUUGCCCAUUUGAAGGAGAAGGAAAAGUUGAGCACUGAGAGGAGGAAUUCGAAGUUUCACAUUGCUGAUCUUGUCAAAGCUAGUGACAAGAAUAAGAGAAAGCUGAAGGAUAUCAAGGAUAUUUGUGAUGAAGAGUGA